Molecule: ribosomal RNA, 570 nt
Filed under: Rhodotorula mucilaginosa
Lineage: Eukaryota; Fungi; Basidiomycota; Microbotryomycetes; Sporidiobolales; Sporidiobolaceae
Also listed under: 1 other name
Description: eukaryotic LSU rRNA
Rfam family: Eukaryotic large subunit ribosomal RNA
Source: RNAcentral
AAACUAACAAGGAUUCCCCUAGUAGCGGCGAGCGAAGCGGGAAGAGCUCAAAUUUAUAAUCUGGCACCUUCGGUGUCCGAGUUGUAAUCUCUAGAAAUGUUUUCCGCGUUGGACCGCACACAAGUCUGUUGGAAUACAGCGGCAUAGUGGUGAGACCCCCGUAUAUGGUGCGGACGCCCAGCGCUUUGUGAUACAUUUUCGAAGAGUCGAGUUGUUUGGGAAUGCAGCUCAAAUUGGGUGGUAAAUUCCAUCUAAAGCUAAAUAUUGGCGAGAGACCGAUAGCGAACAAGUACCGUGAGGGAAAGAUGAAAAGCACUUUGGAAAGAGAGUUAACAGUACGUGAAAUUGUUGGAAGGGAAACGCUUGAAGUCAGACUUGCUUGCCGAGCAAUCGGUUUGCAGGCCAGCAUCAGUUUUCCGGGAUGGAUAAUGGUAAAGAGAAGGUAGCAGUUUCGGCUGUGUUAUAGCUCUCUACUGGAUACAUCCUGGGGGACUGAGGAACGCAGUGUGCCUUUGGCGGGGGUUUCGACCUCUUCACACUUAGGAUGCUGGUGGAAUGGCUUUAAACGAC